Molecule: unclassified non-coding RNA, 404 nt
Filed under: fungal sp.
Lineage: Eukaryota; Fungi
Description: partial internal transcribed spacer region
Rfam family: Eukaryotic small subunit ribosomal RNA (bases 1-46)
Source: RNAcentral
AAGUCGUAACAAGGUUUCCGUAGGUGAACCUGCGGAAGGAUCAUUAACACGUAUUUUACGUUCUCACCCGUGAACUGUGUUAGCCAGGAAAGAGACUUUUGAAACGGGGCCUCAGAUCACACGUGUGUGUUCAGUCGCCGCUUUUCCCAAAGUCUCGAUUUGUACAUCUCCUUUUUCAGCGAGUUUCCCAAGGAUUGGGUUUCGGACUGAUUGUUUUUCCUGCACUCGUUAGGCUGAGUAGAUUUGAACUCUGUGAUCGCUGUAGUUUCCUUACUGGGCUUCGGACAUUUGGACAUUUGAACGCAACACAGCCCUUAAGGAGUCAGCUUGAACACGGUGGACAUCCGCUCGGAAUCUCAUAAACACGCGAUUUUUAACUCUUAGCAACGGAUAGCUUGGUUCUG